Molecule: long non-coding RNA, 1359 nt
Organism: Onychostruthus taczanowskii (white-rumped snowfinch)
Lineage: Eukaryota; Metazoa; Chordata; Aves; Passeriformes; Passeridae
Exons: 2
Source: RefSeq, a predicted model, not a curated record
GUCAGUGAAUUUAAAUUUGAACUCCUCAGGCCAAGGUCUGAGUUCGGAAUUUGAUUUUUAUUCCUUUUGACUCUUAACUUGGUUUAACAAAUUAAAAAUCUUGUUUGAAACAGGCAGUUGAUGCCUCCACCAGCUUUUCCUGUCACUGGCAUGAAAUCAGAAUCGGAAGAAAGAAAAGGUGCGGGGUCUUUGCCUGGCAGCCAUGAUCAUCAAGCCAAGAAGAUGAAAACUGCAGAAAAGGGCUUUGGAUUAGUGGCUUACGCUGGAGAUUCUUCAGAUGAAGAGGAGGAACACGGUGGCCAUAAAAAUGCAAGUACUUUUUCACAGGGCUGGAGUUUGGGGUACCAGUACCCAUCCUCCCAACAGCGAGCUAAACAACAGAUGCCUUUCUGGAUGGCACCAUGAACAACCUGCACAAAAGUUCCCAUCCAUCUGGUUUUUCCCCCCUCUAGCAAUAAUGCAUGUAUAUUCCAGAAUGAACUUGGCAAAGAGGAGUUGUUUUUACAUUUGCAGAAGCCAAUUUUUCCCCUUGGAAGGGCUGCGUGGUUUUUUAAAAAUCCUCAUUUUGGCAGCAUAUUUGUCAAUUUUUAAAAAGGAGUGUUUGGAGUAGCAGCUAGUCCCUUGGGCAAGGGGGAAGUGCUGUCAAGAGGAGCCAGGGAAGCCUCUUGGGCCAUAUUUCCCAUUUCUCCCAGAUAACAUAAAGGGAAGAGUCAGUGACACUUCACUCUGCAUUUGCAUUUUUGGAGUGCUCCUGCUGUCAGCCCCAGUGAUCUGCUGGUGACUCAGCCUCAAUUUUGGGCUUUGACCAGAGGAAGGAACAUCCAGCAGCCAUGACAAACUUGAGCAUCACGUUUGGAACGCUUGGUUUUAUUUCCAACAUCUGUCACUGGGCUUGGAUUGAUGUUGAGGUGUGAUUUUACCAGUGCCACGAGUUCCCAUUCUGGCCAGAUGUUGGGCUGGCUGCAGAUGUUUUGGCACUGCAGCCCAAGUGCUGAACUGUUUUCCAUCUCCCAGAACUCUGAAUCAGCAGCAAUUCCUUUUCCAGAGGCUCACCCCCAUCCCUUCCCUCACUCCUGGAUCCCACCAGAGCCAGAAGCUUCCACGGUGGUUUCCCCCAGGAAAGCUCACCUGCAGAACCUGGCAAUGAGUUUUUGGGCUGCUUUUGGACUGUUUUGGACACAAACUGCUCCGGGGGCUGGUUCAGCCAGAGGCAGUGACACAGGGACAGGUUUUGGGACAGGAGCUUUUCUUUAGAGAAGGGGCUGUGUCCCUGCUGUCCUCAGCUCUGCAAACUCUGCUUCCCCACGUGCUGUAAAUAAUUGGAACCAUCCUUUCAUUAUAAAUAAAUAUAUAAAUAUU